Non-coding RNA from Candidatus Azambacteria bacterium, 3101 nucleotides. Lineage: Bacteria; Candidatus Azamiibacteriota. The record is from Rfam.
UUUUUGCGGGAAAAGAGUAUACGGUGGAUGCCUUGACAUAAAGAAGCGAUGAAGGACGUGGCGUAACUGCGAUAAGCUCCGGGGAGGUGUUCAGCAACCUUUGAUCCGGAGAUGUCCGAAUGGGGAAACCCCGUGCCGUAACCCGGCAUGACUGUGCCUAUGAAAAUAGACGCAGAGCGUACCCAGUGAAGUGAAACAUCUCAGUAACUGGAGGAAAAGAAAAAAACGGUGAAGUUAUUAUAACUGUUUCUCAUGGCGCAAGUCAUGGGGCGGCGGUUAUAAUACACUUCAUACCAUUCCCUUAGUAGCGGCGAGCGAAAAGGGAACAGCCCAAACCCGAGUGUUAAGUAAUUUAUUACAAGACGUUCGGGGGUUGCAGGGCACAUCAUCGCAUCUUAUGAUGCGGCAGAGGAAAAUAAGUUUAUAUAUAAUCGAAUUCUCAUGGAAAGGAGAGCCAGAGAAGGUAAUAGCCCUGUACGUGAAAUAUAUAAACGCUCUGUGCGUGUGUUCCUAAGUAGUGCGGGGAACGACAGCCCCGUAUGAAUCCGGGAGGACUAUUCUCCCAAGGCUAAAUAUUCUUUAUGAUCGAUAGUGAACGAGUACCGUGAGGGAAAGGUGAAAAGAACCCCGAUGAGGGGAGUGAAAUAGAACUGAAACCGUAUACUUACAAGGAGUCGGAGCCUUACAUUUAUGUAGGGUGACGGCGUGCCUCUUGGAGAAUGAGCCAACGACUUUAUGUAUAUUGCUGUCUAACUCCGCAAGGAGGAAGGCGCAGGGAAACCAAGUCUGAAUAGGGCGAACUUGAUUUUUAAAAUACGGUCACGUUUCGACGUGAUCGGAUUUAAAAAUCAAAACGCAGUAUGCAUAAGACCCGAAACCAGAGCGAGCUUACCAUGGGCAGGGUGAACUUCGAGUAAAAUCGAAGGGAGGCCCGAACUGGUGUGCCGUGCAAUACGCUCGGAUGACCUGUGGUAAGAAGUGAAAAGCUAAUCGAGCCUGGAAAUAGCUGGUUCUCCCCGAAAUAGUUUUUGGACUAGCCUCGCAUGUUUAUGAUCGGAGGUAGAGCACUGGAUAGGUCUGAAUGGCGCAAGCUGUCAGACUUAAUCAAACUCCGAAUUCCGGUCAACAGAGUGCGGGAGUCAGACUGUGCGGGCUAAGCUGCAUAGUCAAAAGGAGAAGAAUCCUGACCACAACUUAAGGUCCCUAAAUAUAAGCUCAGUGACGAAAGGAGGUGAAGUUUCUUAGACAGCUAGGAGGUUGGCUUAGAAGCAGCCACCCUUUAAAGAGUGCGUAACAGCUCACUAGUUUAGAGACUUUGCGCCGAAAAUUCAACGGGGCUAAGCUUAUUACCGAAAGUGUGGAUAUCGUCGCAUUCGUGCGGCGGUGUGGUAGGGGAGCGUUCCCAUCUGCUGUGAAGGUGAAAGCGUGAGCUUCGCUGGAGCGUUGGGAAGUGCGAAUGUUGGCAUAAGUAACCGCAAUACCGGUGAAAGUCCGGUACACCGUAAGCCCAAGGUUUCCUUGGCAAUGACAAUCAGCCAAGGGUUAGUCGCGCCUAAGACGAAGCAGAGAUGCAUAGUCGAUGGACAGCAGGUUAAUAUUCCUGCACCGCGAUGCAUAUCGAUGGAGGGACACUUUAGAGUAUCAUGAUCGUAUUAUUGGAUUUACGUUCUUUGUCCGACGAGGUCUGCCAGGCAAAUCCGGCAGGCUCCUUUCAAUAGGAACUCAGAUGGAUCGAGAAAAUGUCCGUAGCAAUACGGAUAAAUUCAUGAGAGCAUGGGGUCGAGAAAAUCUCCUAAGAAUAUGUGCAGAGCGCGCGUACCGCAAAACCGACACAGGUGGGCGAGGCGAGUAGCCUCAGGUGAACGAGUGAGAGUUCGUUAAGGAACUCGGCAAAAAAGCAGCCGUAAGUUCGCAAUAAGGCUUGCCCUUCGCAAGAAGGGCCGCAGCUAAAGUAUCCCUGGCAACUGUUUAUCAAAAACACAGCUCCCUGCUAACUCGCAAGAGGAUGUAUAGGGGGUGACGCCUGUCCGGUGCUGGAACGUUAACGGCGGAUGUUCAUGUUUACGCAAGUAGGUGUGAGCUAUUGCCCGAAGCGCCAGUGAACGACAGCGAUAACUAUAAUCGUUCUAAGGUAGCGAAAUUCCUUGUCUGGUAAGUUCAGACGCGCACGAAUGGCGUAAUGACUGGGGAACUGUCUCAACGAAUUGCUCGGUGAAAUUACAAUAACGGUGAAGAUGCCGUUUUCCUGCAACUAGACGAAAAGACCCCGGGAGCUUUACUGUUGCUUGUUAUUGUGCUGUGAUUUUAGAUGCGUAGCGUAGGCGGUAGACUUUGAAGUUGUGCUUUCGGGCACAAUGGAGUCGUCCCUGAAACACCGCUCUUUUAAACUUACAGUACUAACCUGUCGUGCAAAACACGGCGGGGACAGUUGCUGGUAGACAGUUUUAGUGGGGCGCUAGCCUCCUAAAUGGUAACGGAGGCGUUCAAAGGUCGGCUAGCUCCGGAUGGAAAUCGGAGUGAUAGCGUAAAGGCAUAAGCCGGCUUUACUGCAAGACGUACAUGUCGCGCAGUUACGAAAGUAGGACUUAGUGAACCGACGCUACAUUAUAGAAUGGGCGAAGAUCAUCGGAUAAAAGCUACCCCGGGGAUAACAGGCUAGUCGUGCCCAAGAGUUCAUAUCGACGGCACGGUUCGGCACCUCGAUGUCGGCUCGUCGCAUCCUGGGGGUGGAGAAGCUCCCAAGGGUUUGGCUGUUCGCCAAUUAAAGCGGUACGUGAGCUGGGUUCAAACCGUCGUGAGACAGGUUGGUCUCCUAUCUGUUGCAGGCGCUGAAACUUGAGGGGAGUUCUCUCUAGUACGAGAGGACCGAGAGGAACAAACCGCUGGUGUGCCAGCUGUCCUGCCAAGGGCAACGCUGGGUAGCUAUGUUUGGAUGUGAUAAGAGCUGAAAGCAUCUAAGCUCGAAACACGCCCCAAGAUUAGGUUUCGCUGGGAAUAAAUCCCUGAAGGUCCGUGAGAGAUUAUCACGUUGAUAGGUCGCAGCUGUAAGCGCCGCAAGGCGUUCAGGCGAGCGAUACUAAUUAACCGAUCCCGCAAAAACA